This 17850-nucleotide unclassified non-coding RNA is filed under the name Leishmania donovani. Its description in RNAcentral is "gene:LdHU3.13.1670(CDS-product:SPRY_domain/HECT-d omain_(ubiquitin-transferase)_putative)". Lineage: Eukaryota; Euglenozoa; Kinetoplastea; Trypanosomatida; Trypanosomatidae. The record is from RNAcentral.
UCCCAUGUAUAGUGGCUGAUUUUGAGUCUGCCUCUCCUUCACUCGCGACUUACUUUGCUGGCCCAGCACUGUCUCUCUCUGUGUUGUCUCCUCCCUUCUCUCUCGCUCUCUUGCGCUAAUAGCGGGUGUAGAGGAAGGGAAGGCUGGGGCGUGACUGGCAACCUGCGUGUAUGUGUGUGCCUCUCUCUCGUCGUUCUUAUCUUUCCUCCACCCUUUUUUUCCCUACCCCUCUCGGUCUGUCUGUAUGCCUGUGUGCCUGCGUGAGCGCGCGUUUUUUUUAAUUUGUCUUUUUUUUACCUCACGGAAGCAGCGCUGCUCUGAGGCACUCUGUCGACCUCGUCCGGCAACCCAAAAAGGAUGGAUCAACUCAGCUCCCUCUACGUCCGCAUGGCGAGCGGGGCGCACAGCCAAAUACACAACCCCAGCUCCGUCAUGGGCUUUGUGGACCAGAUGCAGAGUCGCAUGGAGAAGAGCUCGGCGCCCCGCAAGAACUAUCUCAUCGACUCCUCCACCCCACACAGCGACACCGUCAUUGCGGAGUCGUCGGCGCUGAAGCCCAGCGUGGGGUGGGUGACACUGCAGGUAACAGAGGGUAUUCGCCGCGGGAUCCACGAAUGGGGCAUCAAGAUCGAGCACCACGGCGAGAGCAACGAUGGCAGCGGGCUCAUGCUCGGCAUCGUGCCAAAGAACUUCACCAAGUACGACACAUUUAUUUCGCAGGGCGGCGGCUGGUGCCUCAGCCGGGCCGGAAAGUUUUACGGCCACUGGCGUCGCACCGACAGCGGCGGCGGCGUGCUGACUUUUGGCACCGGCGACCGCGUCGUCCUCACCCUCGACUACGACGCCGCCGUCAUGACCGUGCGGGUGGGUGACAAGACGGUCGUCGGCGAGCUCAGCGGGCUGACGAUGGAGGUGUUUCCCGCCAUCUCGCUCCACUACCGGCACCAGCACGUUCGCUUCGACCACCACGCCGUCCGCGAAACGGCCGAGCAGCACCUGCCGUGGCUGCAGCGCCAGGCCUUCCCGUUUGCACCGGCGUUCUUGCCGCUUAGCUUUUCGGAGGUGCAGCGGCUGCCGCUGAACUCGUACCUCUUCAGCAACCUCUUUCAACACCACACGUCGCUGGAGUGGAGCAGCGCGAUGGCCGACACCGCGGGCGGCGGCGACGCUGGCCACCCGGCCAUCUCCGCCCCUGACGCUUCUGGCAAAAAACGCAACGCGGCAGCAUCACUGGCGUCCUCCCCGGACGCCCUUGCCGCUGCACGGCUUGCCGAACAGCGAGCAAUGCGCUUGUACACGUCCUCGGAAGCAGCCGCGGCGCGCCUAACAGUGCUGUCACGCGCCUUCGCGGCGGUUCGCCGGUACGCUGCGGUGGUGCCUGGGAAAAGCCGUUUUCUUGCGCCUCACGUGACAGCGGAGUACCUUCGGCAGCGCCUGUACUCGGCGGCGCGCGAGCCGAGUCUCGGCAGCGGCGGUGGAUCAGCCCUCACGACCUCAGGAGGCCUCUCGAGCAGUGGCGCCAGCGCCUUCCGCUUCGCUGACAGUGCUGGCUACGACGCCACGCUGAACUGCGGCGCCGUCAUUGUCGUGCACUUGUUUGUUCGCGCCGUGUCGAGCGGGCAGGAGGUGGCCGUCUCACUCGUGCACAGCUUCCGCGACUACCUGCUGUCCCUGCCGAUCUUCUCCCUGGUGGAGUACGACGGGUGCGCCAGUGGCAAUGGCUGCAGUGGCGGCGGUGGCGGUGCGCGUGGUUCCCCUUUCAGUGGAGGCAACCAUGGCGGUGUCGGAGGUGCGCGCUCGGCGCUGGCGCCGGACACGGUGCAGCUUGCCGUGGACCACAUAGUGAGGCUGGUGGAAUCUGCCCUCAAAGUGGCUGAAGCAGCACCUACCACAGCGGCGCCAAACUCAAAUGGCAUUAGUUCAGGCUCAUCAGCUGGCAAGCGUAAAGACGGCGGCGGUGACGGCCCGGCUGUUACGCCGCUGACGUCGGCGCUGCUCGAGGUGGCGGUGGUGCUGGCCCUGCAACGUGGCCUCGUGAGUGAAGUGCUGCGCGUGUCGCGGUACCUCUUACGCGUGCCAUCCGGUAUCUUCUCGCCACCUCUGGUGCAUUGGUUGAACCGGCAUGCUGCCGGCCUCACGCCGCAGCAGGCCUUGCCAGACGUUGGACGAGCACUGAAGCGCGCAUGCGAAGACCCCUCUGCUUUCAUAGCCACGCCAGUGGACCCCGUGACGAGGGUGCUAUCGGUGGCCUACGGCAUCGGUGCUACGCUGUUUGUGCACACGGCAGACGGACUGACCAAGUACGGCCCCUCCGCCGCCACACCAUACGUUCUCGUGGUCGAGACGAGGCAGCCAACGGCGUACUGCGUUGGUGCAGCCUCGUCCAGCUUGGCGGUGACGCACACCCGUGUACUGCUGCUGACAGACCUCAUGGCAUCUGCCGAGGUGGCGCUGGUUGUUUAUGGGCUCCAGCUUGACACGCACCAAGUCCUGCGCUGGGCAGAUAUGCACGGCAGCUGGCCCUGCACGCUUAACGCGCACCCCCAGCUCGUGAGCACGACAGAGGAUCGCGUCCUUGUCGUCUACGAAGACCACCAGCAGCAGGCGCCUUCAGCGCGUGUGCUGAACGGUGCAGCGGCAGCAGCCGGCACGCCGGCGAGCGCAGCGGCGAACGGCGGGGUGGUCCGCUCCACGGCUGGUCAGAGUCUCUCCGCUGCAGCCGCGACAGCGACCUCGGCAGAGUGGACCGUUAUGAUGCACUGCUACAACGCCGCAACGGCUUCUUCGCUCACUGCGGCGCCGCUCUGGGCACGUGCGUUGCACCCCGCCGCGGCCCCGGCGGGGCUCUGCCUGAACCGAUGCCUUGCGCUGCGCAAGCCCAGCCUUGUUGAUCUGGGCAGCCCAGAGGAGCACUUGACCGUGGCGGGCGGGCAGGUGACGGUGGAGCUAUGGGUGCAGUUCCUCGACAAGGAAGACGCGGCAACGCUAUACCAACACGGCGACCGCAGCACAAGCGGCGAAGUCUUUAUUGAGCUGAUCAAGUCGGAAGGUGCGUACUGCAUCCGCGGCGGCUAUCGGCACGAGAUGCGCGGCUCGUGUCUUGUCUCGGCGCCGCUGCCGCCCACGGCGGAGAGCCGGCCCUUCCACAUCGGCCUCGUCUUCAACGGGCGAUGGCGGCUCCUGUUUGAUGGUGAGGAAGUGGCCGGCAACCGCCAGGGUCCACACGUGUCACUCGACUCACCAAAGCAGCGGUGGACGGUGGGGGCGAACUGCACGUGCUUGCUGACGGGCUUGCGCGUGUGGCGGCUGGGUCGCACGGCUCGCGAGAUUAGUCGUGACUACCGCCGCUCCCUCGUCGGCGACGAGCCGGGGCUUGUGGUGCAGCUCUUCUUCAACGAGAAGAGCGGAAACGUCGUCUUCAACUACGUGCACAACGUCAAGGCAUGCCACGCCGUCUGCAUCGGGGCCGUGGCCCACAAAGCGUGCGAUACGCACCCGUGGCGCAGCUACGGCUCAGGCGCGCUUGGCGGUAGCAGCGCUGCUGCGGCAAGUGUGUCCGCUGCAUCAACAGUAACAGCAUCAGGUGCGGCUGCGCCGGCGGCCGCGUCGUCACCGGACGUCACACCGGUGUGCGCGCGGCUGCACGAGUGGCGCAAUCUCACCAUCAGCACCUGCUGCGCCACGCGACACGCGCUCAUUGUCAGGACGCCCAUCAGCGAUGAUGGCCCGUAUGCGCUUAGGGAGGGCGGCCACGUGCUCAUGUUCUUCGACCUCGCUGCCGGCGUCGCGCAUCACUCGCUCUUCUUCCUGACAAGCCGCAGCCCGGUGCGACAUAUGAUGCGCGCCGACCCGCAGGGGAGGCUGUGGGAGCUGUUCGAGGUGGAUGUCGGUCUUGUGAAGGGCGAGCAGGAGGCGUCCUACCUUCUAUCCCUGCUCGGCAACCCCGGGGCAGCGCCGCAGCGACCGCGCGACCGGGUGCUCGCCGUGGCACCCCUGCCUCUCAUGGAGGAUGAAGAGGGCCUGGACAACCUCAGCACACUGGCGAACGAGGGAGGGGACGAGGAUGGCGACGGCGCAGAGGAAGGGGAGCCGCGCGACUCGUUGGGCUCGACGACGACGAGCGAGAUCAACCCUGUCGGCAUGGAUCGCAACACGGCAGAUUCUCAGAGAUCUAGCGAGGCGGCUGCGUCACAGGCCACCCAGACCCUCUCACGCUUGUCGUCCUUCACGGCACUCGUCGCACAGCCUUCGUCGGUGGUUACCUACGGCACGGUGGCGUUGUGGCUUCUGAAGCUUCUGGCCCUCCACGCCGAGGCGGAGCCCGGCGUCGAUCAGACACUCUUCUCUCCCCUCGCGGACGAUGUGGGGAGUCGAUGCGUAACGGAGGUGCGGCUCAUCUUGGGCGAGCACUUUCGCGUUGUCAAAUCGAACAACGCGCGUCGCGCCGUCGCGCUGAAGAGCUCCGUGUCGUGGGUGGUGGUGGCGGCAGCGCUGCGCGUCUUACUGCGGCUGGUGCGCCGCGCGCGGGCCUUCGGCCUCCACCCCACGCCGCUGGGGCUGACAGUGGUGAGAGAGGGCACGGAGCGCGACGGUGGCGACGCGGCCGAUGAAUCGCAGAGCUCGCCAACGCACGUCUCCAAGGCCACAAUGACGCUGCUACUGCGCGAGCUUCACGCGUCUUCGCUACGACGACGCGCCAGUGCGUCGGUGGUGCGGUCGCGGCGGUCGGCGAUUGGGCACCCAGGCAGUAGUAGUGCAGACGACGGCGACGGCUUCUCAACAGACAGCUUCACGCUGCUAGGCCUCCUCGGCGACAUCAUCAACGAGGAUGGGCUCACACUCUCGCCGGAUGUCGUGACCCUCGCCCGCAUCAUCACCAUCGAGGGCGUCGAGCUAUUCUUGCCCGACGUCCGCCAUCGCGCGCAUCUCCUGAGGGACCUGCUUCGCGCCUCCUCUGGCGCCUCCUCGCCUCGCGCCUCCACGGCCGCCGGCGGUGCCGCUGUUGCCUCACCGCCUUCCGUCACCGCGGAGGAGCGAGUGCCGGCUAUGGAAGUGCUGCUUGACGCAGUGGCGCAGAGUUUCACCACUGUGCUCGCCGCGGCGCCUCUGCUCGGCGUGGAUGACGACAGUGCGGGGCCGGGCAGCGCGGCAUCCCUCACGGAGCUCUGUGGCACCCUUCGCACGCUUCUCGAGGAGUCGUCUGUGCAGUGGCAGCGUCUGUGGGAUGCGAGCACCGCGAUACGGUCCGUCCGCAAGUUUGCGUCCUUUGCGACAUCCCUGUCGGAGGCCAUCGCCUCGCUGCAACUGCUGCUGCUCAGCGCCUGUCAGGGCUCGCGGUGGGAAGUGGCGCUGACGCUGAUGUACGCCAGUGGCGGUGGCAGUGCAGCAAACCGCGUCGCCGACGCCACCCGCGUCCGCGACGGGGGUGGCCAGGGUGACAGUAGCAAUUCCGGCAACGGUGCGACAGCGAACGGGGUCGCUGGAAGCGGCGUCGGCGGUGUGAACGGCGGCGGCGCAGGUGUUGGCGGUCCGGACAACGUUGCGGCCGCUGCGCUCGAUCUUCAGCGACUAUGCUUCUCGCAGGCCGCCGCCUACCACCCUUGCGUGCGGGCCUACUACAGCGCGCUUUUUGAUGGCACCGAAGUCUGCCUAAGCCUUUGCGUGCAACAGCCGGCGCAGCAGCCGUCGACAGGCAGUACCUCGAAGACUGCAGAGCGGGGCGGCGGCGACAGCGGGGCGCCGCUGUCAGCGAUGCUGUCAAGCCUGGCCCCAACGUUCGUGAACGCUCCACUGCACACGGCCUUGAGCGCUAUCCCGCUGGUCCUCGCUGCCGAGGACGCGGAGUGGUUCCUCAAACGCCUCGAGCACCUGCUUAUGCUGUGCGAGACGCUGCUGGAGCGGGUGGAGUUGCUGACGAGACCCAACAGCGGCACUGACAUCUUCACCAGCACCACGAACGCCAGCAGCCCGGUCCUUCCUGGCAGUGGCAGCGCCAUCUCUGCGCGACGGCUCGUGUGCUCGCUGCGCGAGGCGCUCUUCUACGCCUCUGUGUGGGUCGCAGCAUUUCUCUUCAACAGCACGGCCGUGUCCUCCGCCAGCGUCAAGGCCGACGCGGUGCGGCGCCGACUUGGCCUCUUGUCCGUCACAACAACACCAACGACGCAGCGGCAAACGGCGCAGCUCACUGGCCACGCACCGUCUGUGGCAACAGCGACGAGCAGCACGACAGGGGCGCCACCGUCCAGCAGCACCGCUGACGACGCAGCCUACACCGCAGUGGGCGAGGAGCUCGCCCGCGUCUGGGAGCACCCGCUUCUGGAGGGCGGUCUCUGGCCCGGCACCGUCUCGAUAGCAGCGGCUGCGCCUCAGCACCGAGCGCAGUUCGUUUCGCAGCUGAUCAAGAACACGGCGUACUGGACUGCCAAGCAAACGAUGCUGGAUCCUCUGGCCUCGAAGUCACAUCCUGCCAUGGGCCCUCUCAUCACCGCCAUGGCGGCGGCGGCGUUGCACCUCAGUGCCGUACCACUGCAGCACCUUCCGCCGACGCAAGUGGAGGAGUUUAUGUGCGCAGUCAUGCGAAAGCUCUCGCGGCCAAUUCGCACCGAGUUGCUAAGCCGACGCGAGGAGGGCGAAGACGAUGGCAGCAGUGGACCUCCGUCACCCUCCUCGUCCUCGCCUCCUUCAUUGAGUCGGCCAGAGUCGCUGAGGCAGACGCUGACAGAGCUGCAGCGUCGCUGCGAGGUGCUACUGCAGGCACGGACAUGCACCGAGCUGUGGGCAGUGGAGGACGCCCUGUUUUGUAUUCCGACUGAGCGUGUCGCCGCUGGUCGCUCGCUGGGGUCUGGGAGGGCUGCAUGGACUUACCCCCCGCUCCUUCCGGGAGCCUCGGCACCGUCCUCGUCGGCGCCGAUGGCACCGAGCGCCUUGGGUGCACUGCACUCUGCAUGGAGCUCGUACCAGCUACGGCGAAUGCGCUUCCGCGCGCACGCCGCCUCGCACCCGAGCUGGACGCUGCAGGAGGCCACGCAGCUCGUCACGAGCGUGGUACUCUCUCGCCAGAUUACGGCGGAGCUUCUGCGCGCCGCUCUGCAACAGCGCGAGGAGCUGGCUGCGUUGAGGCGUACAGGCAUCGAGCACAUCUUCCGGCUCGUGCAGCGGGCCCCGCACAGCGCCGAGAGCGCCGCUCAGCUGCUCAGCGCACAGGGUCGCGGCGCGCACACGCACUAUGAAGAGGGCAUCGGCGGCUGUGGCAGCGCCCACGUUGACCACAUUCGCCGCACCCUCUUCGACCUGCUGCGCUGGUCAAUGGAAGAAAUGCCGACCCAGCUGGGCGCUAGCGGCAGUGCCACGCGCGAUGGUGGCAGUGCGCCACUCUCCAUGACCAGCACGGCAACGGUGCUGUGCGGUCUUCUCGACCGCAGCUGGCGGCCGCGUGACUUUGCAUUCUUUGUGCAGCUGCGGGUGGUGCCGACCAUGAUGGAGACGUACGUAACCCUCUUCGUGCCCGUCAAGCGCGCCGACGACGAGGAAGCGGCAGAAGUGACGUCAGGCAUGCGCAGCAGCGGCGACACGUUUGGUCUGCGACGACCCUCUACCGUCGCAGUCGCAAUGACGGCAAGCAACAGCAGUGCUAGUCCGACAGAUGAUGGUGCGACGGCGACUGAUUCGCGCGCUGGGUCGGUGGAGAUGCGCCACGUCAACCUCGCAGAGCGGCAGAAUCGCGAUAAGGUUAUCGCUGCUCAGCAGGCGCGUCGCACGAGCAAGAGCGCGCUGAUGACGGCCUUCACGCUGAAUCGGGCCGGCGGUACCGGUGGCGGCGGUGGUGGACCGCACGGCUCUGCCGGGCUCAUGAGUGGCGGCACCGGCGACGCCGCCCUGCAGCACACUGCCGUGGAGGCAAUGCAGGCGAAGGUGUGGCAGUGCUUCAAAAGUUUGGCUCUCCAGUCGACGGCGAUGCUGACGCCCGAGCGCAUUGCAAGUUUGUCGCGAGUAGAACAGACCUCCGUCAUGACGUUCUUAGCUGACAUGCUUGGCGCGAUGGAGACGGAGCUGCGGCUGUGCCGGGACAUGCUGUCGCGAGCCGUGAAAGACACGCCAACGCUGCUAGCGCAGGCGAGCGACGCUGCCGUGCUGGAGCCGCUGGUGACGGUGCAGGACCAGGUAGACCUGCUGCUGAGUUUCCUGUCCGUCGUGAGUGGGACGCUCUGCUCGGCCUCGUUGUCCGUCAGCGUCUCUGCCCCGGUGGGCCACACCACAGCAGGCAGAGCACCAAACGCACGAAACACCAGCGGCGACUGUAGUCUUAGCGCCCGCGACGGCACGGCACUCUUUCUCAGCUGCACCUUGAGCACGAUGUGCGCCACCAUCGCAGAGACUCUGCUUGAGCUCGUCUUCUUGGACAUGUACCACGCGCGCGCGGUGAGCGCCGACGCCGGCGUGGGGUGCGUCGUGCGAGACGCCGCGGCGUGCGCCAGGGUCGCGGCGCUGCUGCUGUGUCGGUGUCAGCCGUCUGCUGUCCGCGGCAUCACCGUUGCACCGGGUGUGUGGCAAGAAAUGUACGAGUCGCCGGCGUUCGCGAAGAUGUCGUUGCCCGCCUCCUCGCCUCUGAACGGCGGCCAUCCGUGCAUGCAGAGAUGGCUAGACCUCAGUGUGUACGCCUUGGCCACGACCGGGAUGAGUCGCACGACUCAGCACGUACUGCUGGCCUUCCGCCGACUUCUGCAUCAGCCAGCGUGGGCCGCGGAGUUGCGCGGCUUCGCGUCAUCCUACCAGGAUGUUGUCCACGCUUACGCAGCGUCCGUGCUUAGCAGUCGCAGCGGUGGGGGCGAGAUGGUUGGCGCAGCAGGUAAACCGACAUUGACCGGCGCAGACGACGGUGCUGCAGGCACGAGCAGCAACUUCUCCACUAAUACCCCGGCCCGGGGCCGCGAGGUGCAUGCUGUCCACCUGUACGUGUGGUCGGCGAUACUGGGUGGUCAGCUGCUGGUCCCCCCGACCUCGCCCGGAGCGUCCGUUACCUUCCUGGACGAGAAGGACGGCUAUCAGGCCGUCACUGCGUGUGUGGUGGACGUGGAGGCAAUGGCGCCGACGUCGGUGGGGCCCGGUGGCAUGCCGACCAAGGCCGGCACGCCGUCCUCAGCCCAGUGCGGGCGGCCCAUUCGCGGCUCCAGCCACUUCUUACUCAGGACGGCGGCUACCGCCGCUGAGGGCGAGAAGUUGCGCGGGGUGGUUGUCGUACCGACGGAUGCAACAGGGCACAGCGGGAAUAGAGGGGAGGUGCAGCUGUCGCCAAACCAGCUCUUCUUGCCAGCCUGGGAGAACGCCAUCGUGGUGCCAUCGUACGCGGGGCUGGUCGAGGACUUCCUCGCCCCAGCGCUCCGCCUCUGUGUACCGCUGUUGAAUGAAAAGCUGGACACGGCCGCCGGCUUCACAGGAUUCGAGCUGACCUACUUCAUUACUCUCUUCCACCUCACAGCCGGCGUGGCGCGCGCGCGGCCGGAUCUGGGGCGGCAGCUCAUACAGUGCGGCGCGAUGAAGCCCAUUCGACAGUACGCACUGCAGGGCGUGGUGCGGCUUCCAUUCCCGUUGAAGGCGCUCAGAGAGUUCGGCGCCUUGGUGGCGGUGCGGGCUGCCGAGGCCACAGCUGAUCGCAUCUGCGCCCCGCCGGACAACACAGACAAUGCGGGCGGCUUGGCGAGCAGCGUCGCCGGUGCGGCCGCAACAGGCGGAGCAGGGGCGCCCUCGCUCGCUGCUGCCCUGGCGGCUGUCUCCGCCACUGAAAUCAGUCGUGCCAGCGCCGGGUCGCGAUCCCCGUUCGGCUCGCCCGUGUCCACGCAACACCAGACGUUGCCCGGAGUGAGCGAGGCUCUGCUGGAGAGCCUCCGCAGCGUGUCGCCCGGGCCCUCGGUAGGAUACCCGGCCACCUUCCUCUCUGGCUUUCCCCAAUCCAGCGCCACCGCCGCAUCCUCGAGCGGCUUCCUGCGGGACUCGAACGAGUACGGCCUCUCACGUCUCGCGCGCAGCUUGGGAGUGUUUGGCGGUGCCUACGGUGGGGCCGCGAUUAGCGGCGCCCCCUCGCAGCAGCCGAUGCGGACGACAUGCGCGUCGGUGGCAAACAUCCUCCGCGGUGGCUCGAGUCUUACCACUACGACGGCGCGCAUCCCACCGCGCACGGAGGUGGGAAGCGGGGCACCGAUGUUCCUGUCCUUUCCCAUGUGGCCUGCACACGAUGUGCCACCUUGUGGGGCUGCGCGGAGUGGUGUUGCGGGGCAGCCGUCCGUGCCGGCUGCUGUUGAGAUCACACCGUCACGCGCCGGCGUGCACUUCCCCGUCUGGGAGGACGGCUUCGCGAUCGAGCUGGCGGUGCUGCUUAGUGACGGCGAUAUGUACCCCGCCAUGGGUGACGCGCUGAGUGUGCCGUGCUCGUGGCCGAAGCCGCAGCUGGCCGCCGCCGGCGGCAACACAGCGCUGGAGUUUCCGCUCUUGACGCUGUACACGUCCGCAGACGGCGGCAGCAGUGGAGCGGUGGCGGCGGCGUCAUCCGAUGCGGGCCUCUUUCCUUUUCUGCAGUUGAGUGUCCAAGAGAGCAGCCUCAACGUCGUCGUGCGCCUCCCUCCCUCCACCGUCGGCGCACCAGACGGCAAGGAGGCGCUGCGCUGCAGCGCGAGGCGCACGCUGCGCCGCGAGGACUGGUACCACUGCAUGCAUGUUUCCGUCAUGUGCAACGCACAGAGCCUGGCUCUCUCCCGCAACGGCGAGAUGACGUCUGUGGAGUGGGGUGGCGCGGCUGGUGUCGGUCGGUGCGCAGAGGCGCUUCUGCGACGAGAGGGUGCCAUCCGCAAGGUCGUCCUCGGGCGUGCGGAAACCGGAAUGUCGUCUGCGCCGCCUCGCGAGGUAGAUGGGCCGAUGGCGCUGAUUGGGGGACUGCGACUGUGGAGCACCUCCGUGUUGCGGACGUCUCUCCGCGUCGUCGCGGAGCUGGUCGCUCGCGACCGGGCGCUGCAGUCGAUCGGCCUGCACGAGAAUGUGUGCUACCUCGAUCUCAAGGAGGGCACCGGCGCCGUCGUCGAGUCGGCGGACAGCCAGAAGCAGUUCCGCGGGGUGCUCUCUGGUAGCGUGCGGUGGGCAGCAGAGCCACUGCCGCUCGGCUUCUACCCGUCGAUUGAACUCAACUCCGGCGGCGUGCUCGACGGAGUGACGGCGCCACUGGCGAGCAGCAUCCGCGUGCCGCGAGUCGCCAUGGCUGCCUUUGUCGACUCGCUCUCCUCCUUCUACUACGAGCGCUUCGGUGGCGAUGUGCUGUGGUCGCUGCUGACGUUAGCGGCGCGCUACGCGACAGUGACUGCGCUGGAAGUUGGCACGAGCCCUGCCUACGCCCUGCACUGCCUCGCAGACACAUCCGUGACCUCCUCCGCCUCCGCCAUUGCUGCGCGAAGUGCCAUGGCCUUCGAUCCUCGCCAAGUGCUCGACCCGGCUCAGAAGGUGCCGCAUCAGUUGAACCGCCUGUUCCAGCUCCACGACAGCGGCUACCUGCCCAACGCGCACGAGCGCCUCAUACACGCCGUCGUGCAGCGCCUAGUGGCCGUGCUGGCGGCGGCGGUGCCGGAGGAGGAAGAGAAGACAGACAAGUCCUCGGUGGUCGCCAGGGUCGUUGGCGGCUCCGGCGCGACGGCAGCGCCAGCUGCAUCACAGCUGUGCGGGCUCGUCGCCGACACGGCCUACGUGCUGCGACAGUUGCGAAGAGAUGACGGUGAGAUCUUCGUGAUUGAGGUGCCGCCGCCAGGCCAGGCGGCCUCCGCUUCUGCUGCUAUUACUCAACCCGUCGUUCUCCCGCUCGCCUUCACCAAUGGCGGCGCUGGUGUGCUGACCUUUGACGCGAAGUACCGCAACAUGGAGCAGGCCACCGUGUACAAGGACGUGGAGCUGAAGAGCGUCAUUGCCAAGUACCCGGACGGGCAGGGUGGCUGGCCAUUGUGCACCUUGACGGCCACGGAGACCCCCUGGGCGUUCCUGCGCAGCGUGCCUACCUCCACAUCUCAUCGGCUGGCGGCGGACGGCAAGCCCUGCAGCCCUGGCAGCAUGCCCUCCUCCUCGAUCGUCACCGUUACAACCAAGUCGCUCAAGCCCGCCAUUCUGCACGCGAUGGUGAAGGCGGUGUGUGACGCCCUGCGCAGCCUCGCUGGCGCGAGCGGCCAGGGCCAUCGGCGCGGUAACGGCAGCGCCGGCUCCUCCAUUGCCGAGCGCGCAGCCGCGUGUCUGCUCGAUGCCCGCGUCGUGGUCUCCCUCAUUCAGCAGAGCAGCGCCCGCUCGAGCGAGGACGACUGCGUGCACUUUGUGCAUAUCCUGACGGCGAUGAUGCGGCUCUGGCGGGACAUGCCAGAGGUGCAGCCGUACGACCAAGUGCCCCUCGCCAUGGCGAUGUCACACCUGAACACCCCGCUCUGCAGCAUCAUCCAGCACGUGAACAGCGACUCCGACAUUGGUUCUUUUGUGUCGUUGUCAACUGGCACCUACAGCCCGUACGUUCAGAGCCUGCUGGGGUUGCUGGUGAGCGCCGUGCACGCCGACUGCGCCUGGACCGGCCGAAGCUACGUGGAGCAACUCCAGGGCCGCUGGCGCCGUCUGUGGGGGAUGUGGCAGCGCGCCGUCGUGUACCGGCCAUCGCAGUUGGCCGAUGCGAAGAGGAGGAGGCACAAAAGCGCCGCUUGUGCCGGCAGCACAGGCAAGGGCGUGCAAACCGCGCUUCCGAAUGGCGGGAGACGCGAUGGGGCCGCCGAGGAGGGGGCGACCGCUACCACCGCAGGCAGCAGCGCCUUUCGCGCUCUCUUCUUGGCGCCUCACUCGUCGAGCUCGAACCGCUACCAGCUGCAGGGAGCCACGCCAAACAUGGAGAUGCCACACGUGGACUCGCUCGACGCCUCGGUGGCGAUCGCAGGGUCGUCGACGACCGGGCAUGGAACCACGGAAAGCCCGGAGCCGGAGCCGAGCGACGGCAGCCACGCGGGUGAGGAGGGCCCUCUCAACGGCGGCAGUAGCGCCUCCACCGCGGCGGCGAGCAGCGGUGAUAGGUCGCAAGCACCGCCGCUUGUGGUGGAGCUGGUCUCCAUGCAGCCAGCAUCAACUGGGCCAGCGGGCAUCAGAUCUUCGUCGCCCUUUUCCUCGGCGACGGAGAGCCACGACCAGCACCCGCAACCAACGCAAAAAUACCCUCGCAGACCGUAUCCAAGCGGCGUGUCACGCAAGGGCAACGGGCUCUGGGUGGUGCGCGCCACCUGCGCGGGUAAGGAGCAUGGCGAAGAGCAGAACCCGUUCGCAGCGCGCGACGGAGCCGCACGCAGUGUAACGACCGUGCGUAGCACUGUCGGCUUGACAACCGGCAUGUUCUACUGGGAGGUCUACGUGGCGAACAUUAGCCGCGCCGAGCACACCGCUGCCACGCUGGCCGGGGGCAACAAGCUGCCCUCCAACAUCCUCGUUGGAGUUGCGACGGAGCGGUGCGUGCCAACACACAGCAGCAGUAGCGCCACCGGCAGCGGUGCGCACGCAGAGGGGCGAGACGGGUUCCUGGGCAGCGACGGUGAGUCGUGGGGUUUCGACGGAGGCCGUGCCAUGCGGCUCUGCCGUGGCUACGCGGUGGAGUCGAGCCCCCGUACGCGGUGGAAGAUGGACGACGUCAUUGGCUUUGUGCUGGACUUGCGCCAAAACAAGCUGUGCUGCCUGCACAACGGCCGUCUCGUCUCCGAGUUCAGCGAUACCUUCCUCUCGGAAGAGCAGCGCGCCGCGCGGGUCGCCGUCUUCCCCGUCAUCACGUGCACAGGGGAGGCCAGCUGCGAGGUAAACUUUGGCGCCACGGGUUUCGCCAGCACGCCGCCGCCGGGGUGUCUCCCGGUGGACUUGUCUAUCUACAUCAACGAGGAGGCGUGCCGGGUGUGGAAGGUGGUUCUGGCGGAUGAGGUCAGCGCACCCCUUGCCUCGGCCACCGUAGCAGCCGCGACCCGCGCUGGACAGCCUGCCCGUCUUCUUCUUCCCAGCCCUGUCAUUCCGCUGGUGGGCCAGCACCUGACACGCUUCACGCAGGGUCGCCAAGGCCCGCUGGAUGUCGUCCUCCUGUCCUCGGACUCCAACGCGAAGCUCGUCACGUCGCGUGAGUGCAAGACGGACGACGCGGCGAGCCUUCUCUUCGGCAGCGUGGCCGUCACAUCGGGCCGCUGGUACUUCGAGGUGGUGCUGCCGACGGAACCGACUUUCAGCGUCGGCUGGCACGCGUGCAAGUCGCUUGAGGAGCAGGGCAGUGGUGGGAGAGGAGGCGCCGGCCUGGCGGGGCUCAUCGGCAGCGCCGGUGGCGGCGCUCCCGGCGGUUCAGCGAGCAACAGGGAUGCGGCCAUCGCCUCCCCAACCUCGCCGAGUCGCGUGCAGCUCUGGGGCGACGGGCCUUCGUGGGUUUUCGAUGCCGGCCGCAUGAUCGCACGGCACAACAAGCACCAGGUCAGCCUUGCCCGUCGUGUAUGGAAGUGCGGCGACGUCGUCGGGUGCCUGCUUGACUGCGAGGCCGGCACAGUGAGCUUCAGCGUCAACGGCGAGUUCCUGAAGGCGGCACACGGGAGCGGCGCCGUCGGGGGUGGUGGGCGGGGAGGUGGCAAUGUCGCUGGGCUGAGUGGCACGCGCGGCAACUCGGAGCCCUUCGAAGCCACUGCCGCUGCAUCCGCGACUUCCACCCAAGACGCAACUGCGACGGCGCUCUUCCGCGAUGUGUGCAUGAGCGAGACGCACGGGCUGGUGCCGGCCAUUCUUCUGGAGCCCAAGUCGUCGCUCGUGUGUCUGUGGAACGAAGAGGAGCUUCUCUUUCCACCGACGAAUGGUGGCGACUUCCGGGCACUUGGAGGUGCCAGCGCGGUACACGACGCGUUGGUGGAGAUGAUCGUCGUGCCCGAUGGUGAGGCCGCCGCCCGUUUUCGCAUGCACCCACUCCACGACAGGGGGGACGCCGCCAGGCAGCCGAGAAAGGAGGAGAGGCUAUACAAGCCGGUGGACGCCGUGGCGCUGCAGAAGCUGCUUUACUACGCGAGUAAGGUGCAAGAGCUGCACCCCACCAGCCUGCGCAGCUACACGAUGCCGUCCCUCUACGGUGUUCACGGUGCAGCGCAGAGCCUUGAAAACCCAAACGCAUCGGUUGCGCCUCCUCGCGACCUGGAUGUCAACGCCGUCACGCCGAGCCGCGCCGUCUCGCAGAGGCAUCAGCAGCGCGACCUCUGCACUGCCAGCGGCCUCGACGCGGCCACGCUGCAACCGCACCUGAUGGCCCUGCUUCUCUUUGGGCACCUCUCCACCCUCCUCUACCCAUUCGCCCACCCUGCCGCUCUGCCGGUGACAGUCGAAAACGCGCCGUUGGGCAGCAGCUGGGCCUUCAGCGAGCUGCAGGAGACGCUGCGGGCGUGCCAGCGGUAUGCCCCGCCGUGGGCGUCGCUGCGAGCGCUGCAGUGGUCGCUGGACGCCUCGAACGGUGCGGGCAACGCGGUGCGACUCAGCGUGAACCGGCGCAAGGCACUGACAGUGGUGCGGGACAGCACCGCCUCCGCCGUGCGCCGGCUUCGCGACAGCCUUUUCGGCCAGGUGUACCAGCUGCUCGCCAGCAAGCCUCCUGAGUUCUUCAUCACGAGCAAGAAGCUGUGGACCGUCUCCUUCUAUGGCGAAGGCGCCGAUGACGUUGGCGGCCCAUAUCGCGAGUGCCUCACGCAGAUGUCUGCGGAGCUGAUGAGUACCUCCCUCGCCCUCUUCUUGCCCAGCGCCAACAUGGCCAGCGAACUUGGGGAGGUGCGGGACAGCUACGUCGUCAACCCGCUCUGCGCGCCACCGCUGGAGCUGCACAUGUACCGCUUUAUAGGGCGACUGAUGGGCGGCUGCCUGCGUGGUGGAGAGCCGCUUUCGCUCUACCUGUCCAGCGCACUCUGGAAGUACCUGGUGGGGGAGGCGGCGGACGACACAGACAUGGCCCGCAUUGACAUGGCCACGCUGAACGCGCUCGGCUAUGUGGAGCAGCUGGCUGGUUUUCCGUCGCCGAGGGGGGCUCUCGGAGGCAGCGGCGACGGCGACGACGCCGUGCGUGACGAGGAGCUCGCCGAGCUCUGCCCUCGCGGGUUUUCGCUUCUGAAUGACGCCGGCGUAGUGGAAGAGCUCGUGCCGGGCGGGGAGCAGAUCCCGGUCACGGUCGCCAGCGCCGACCUCUACACACGCCUUGUGCGAGAGCAUAAGCUGUACCGCACAGGGGCGGCGCAGCUCCGCGCGCUGCAGCAGGGCUUCCACGAGGUGGUGCCGCUGUGCAGCGUAUCGGGGCUCAAGUGGUACGAACUGGAGGAGCUCGUGUGCGGGCAGUGCGACUACGACCCGGAUGCGCUGCUGGACGCGGCCCGGUACGAAGGGCUGUCCCCCACCGACGUCCGCGUUAGGUUUCUCCGUAGCGUCCUCCGCGGAUUCACGCGGCACCAGCGCGCCCUCUUCAUGCGCUUCGUCAGCGGGCGAGAGCGCCUGCCGCCCGGGAUGCAUCUGAAGAUCAUGCCAGACGACGCGCCACGUGUGGCGCCCAUCCCACCUAUAACGCCGGACCGAGCAGCACCGUCGCUGCAGUCUGCCUCUCCACAUCGUCGGCAACGCGUGGUCACUUCCCCUUCGCACGACACGACAACGGCAGUGAUGACGCCGCAGCCGCCGCCGAGCAGCGAACAGCGGUGCGGCACCUCUUUUGUGCGCCACAACACGCUCGCGCAGAGCCGCCCCAGCAGCAACACCGGAAGCAAUACACUGCCGCCGUCACCGCCGCAGCUCGGCUUCACGCCUCCUCCACCCCAGGCGGUGUCGCGCAUGGUGCCGCCGCCUGCCCUGCAGCCAGGUCAACUACAGCCGGUCCGGGGCAGCGGCAGCGGGGGGCAGUCUCACGCGCCAGCCUCACUGCUCUCGCCGCUCGGCAUGCAGGAGCGAUGCCGACAGCAGGAGUCGAAGGGUGGCGACGGGAUGGUCGAGGACGGCGUUGACUUCUCCCUCUGUGACGACACGCGCUUGCCGCAAGCCUCGACGUGCUUCUACUGGCUGCGUCUGCCCUGCUACAGCUCCACGUCGGUCAUGGCGCAGAAGCUUCUGUUUGCGAUUGAGCAGUGUGUCGAUAUUGAUGCGGACUUCCGCGUGCACGACACGGACGUGGCGCAGCAAGAAGUCGGGCCCAGCCUGGCCCGCGUCAGCAGCGACGAGGACGACCUCUUCGAGGACUUCUCUCAUCUCCGGUGAGGCGUAACGGUGCGGAUCAGCUGCCACGUAUGUGGAGGGAUGGUGGUGGUGGUGGUGGGGGGGGGGAAUGCUUGUCUGUUCAGCCGCCCCACCUCUGGCAGAGGAGCCGUGGGGCGUCGGCGAGCGAUGAGCCGCCGGAUGUGGUCCCCCUCUCUCUCCAUGAAGUGGCGGCACCUUUGCCACUUUGGCUGCCCUCGGCCCCCCCCCCGCCGUCGCCCUGCCGCUCGCGUGUAUCCAAGGAUGUAGAGUUUUCAUUCAUGUGUGUGUGGGGGUGUGGGUGUGGGUGUGCGUGGUUUUUCCGAUUGUGUCGCGCACCAGAAUCACGCGCACUCGCCAUCCGCCAUUGCGUGCACGAGAAGCAUGAAGAGAGAAGAGACGGCCGUGUUGCUUGCAUGACGCUGCCUCGCAUCCCGCACCCUUCUCACGAAACAAACGACGUUAAACACAACCCUAGAGGACAGGACGCGGCUGAAGUGCCUGGCGCCCUCUCCUCCACCUUCCCCUACUCCCUUCUUAUCCCACAUCAUCCGCAGCAUCUUCAUGCUCCUUUCGUUUGUACCCCUAUCCCAUUACACG